RNAcentral lists this ribosomal RNA (411 nucleotides) under uncultured Gammaproteobacteria bacterium. Its description in RNAcentral is "bacterial SSU rRNA". It matches the Rfam family "Bacterial small subunit ribosomal RNA", at positions 9 to 418 of the family's 1533-position model. The record is from RNAcentral. Lineage: Bacteria; Pseudomonadati; Pseudomonadota; Gammaproteobacteria.
GAGUUUGAUCAUGGCUCAGAGUGAACGCUGGCGGCAGGCCUAACACAUGCAAGUCGAACGGCAGCGCAGCAGUAGCAAUACUGUGGGCGGCGAGUGGCGGACGGGUGAGGAAUACAUCGGAAUCUACCUUGUCGUGGGGGAUAACGUAGGGAAACUUACGCUAAUACCGCAUACGACCUACGGGUGAAAGCGGCGGACCGCAAGGCGUCGCGCGAUUGGAUGAGCCGAUGUCCGAUUAGCUAGUUGGCGGGGUAAGAGCCCACCAAGGCGACGAUCGGUAGCUGGUCUGAGAGGAUGAUCAGCCACACUGGAACUGAGACACGGUCCAGACUCUACGGGAGGCAGCAGUGGGAAUAUUGGACAAUGGGCGCAAGCCUGAUCCAGCCAUGCCGCGUGUGUGAAGAAGGCCUC